RNAcentral lists this ribosomal RNA (275 nucleotides) under uncultured bacterium. Its description in RNAcentral is "partial 16S ribosomal RNA". It matches the Rfam family "Bacterial small subunit ribosomal RNA", at positions 338 to 610 of the family's 1533-position model. The record is from RNAcentral.
CCUACGGGUGGCUGCAGUAAGGAAUAUUGGUCAAUGGACGCAAGUCUGAACCAGCCAUGCCGCGUGCAGGAAGACGGUCCUCUGGAUUGUAAACUGCUUUUGUUAGGGAAGAAACCCUCGGAUGCGUUCGAGGCUGACGGUACCUAAAGAAUAAGGAUCGGCUAACUCCGUGCCAGCAGCCGCGGUAAUACGGAGGAUCCAAGCGUUAUCCGGAUUUAUUGGGUUUAAAGGGUGCGUAGGCGGCGUUGUAAGUCAGUGGUGAAAGUUUGCAGCUU